This 108-nucleotide non-coding RNA is filed under the name Staphylococcus sp. RNAcentral's name for it is "SAM-I sequence". It matches the Rfam family "SAM riboswitch aptamer (S box leader)". Rfam says of the family: The SAM riboswitch is found upstream of a number of genes which code for proteins involved in methionine or cysteine biosynthesis in Gram-positive bacteria. The SAM riboswitch acts at the level of transcription termination control. The record is from RNAcentral. Lineage: Bacteria; Bacillati; Bacillota; Bacilli; Caryophanales; Staphylococcaceae.
CUCUUAUCAAGAGUGGUGGAGGGAUGUGCCCUUUGAAGCCCGGCAACCGUCUGAAUCAGAAAUGGUGCCAAUUCACAUGAAGUUACUAUUAACUUUGGGAGAUGAGAG